Molecule: unclassified non-coding RNA, 461 nt
Filed under: Hevea brasiliensis (rubber tree)
Lineage: Eukaryota; Viridiplantae; Streptophyta; Magnoliopsida; Malpighiales; Euphorbiaceae
Source: RNAcentral
AGCCACGACACGCGACAGCACGCGCCGAUUAAACCCGCUAGAGAAACUAACAUCAGGAACACGCCGAUGACAAUCACAGGCGUGUCAAGGAACUUCUCGCAUUCAGAUGUACCAUGGUUUCGGAGCCAGAUCCCCGCGCCCAGGAUUGGGAUGGAGAGCAGGAAGGUGAUGAAGUUGAGGAUUCCUACCAAGUUGUUACUCAGACGAAACAUGGCAGAUUAAUUGGUGAGUCGGUUGUAUUAUCCUUGGUGUUUGGUUAGAGAGAAAGCGUGAGAAUGUGGCAGAAAGAGUGAGAAGAAAAGCUAAAAAAGGUAUGAAUUUGAGAGAGUUGUUAGGAACAUCAAUAUAUGUAGCGAGGAUGGAGAAGGGAUUAUGGAGCAAGAAACAGAGGACAGAUUACCGAGAAGGUUCUACGUUGUGGGGGCGCUGAUAUCUUCACGCGCUCGUGACGCGUAUUUGGG